GACGAACGCUGGCGGCGUGCUUAACACAUGCAAGUCGAACGGAAAGGCCCUGCUUGUGUGGGGUGCUCGAGUGGCGAUCGGGUGAGUAACACGUGAGUAACCUGCCCUUGACUUUGGUAUAGCUUCAGGAAACUGGGGCUAAUACCGGAUAGGAGCUCCUGCUGCGUGGUGGGGGGUGGAAAGUUUCGGCGGUCGGGGAUGGACUCGCGGCUUAUCGGCUUGUUGGUGGGGUAGUGGCUUACCAAGGCUGUGAAGGGUAGCCGGCCUGAGAGGGUGACCGGCCACAUGGGUACUGAGGUACGGCCCAGACUCCUACGGGAGGCAGCAGUGGGGAAUAUGGCACAAUGGGAGGAAGCCUGAUGCAGCAACGCCGCGUGCGGGAUGACGUCCUUCGGGUUGUAAAACGCUGUCGGCUGUGACGAAGCGUGAGUGACGGUAAUGAGUAAAGAAGCACCGGCUAACUACGUG
RNAcentral lists this ribosomal RNA (468 nucleotides) under uncultured bacterium. RNAcentral describes it as "partial 16S ribosomal RNA". It matches the Rfam family "Bacterial small subunit ribosomal RNA", at positions 28 to 507 of the family's 1533-position model. The record is from RNAcentral.